Podarcis muralis (Common wall lizard) is the source of this 122-nucleotide small nuclear RNA. The record is from Ensembl. NCBI's taxonomy places the organism in Eukaryota, Metazoa, Chordata, Lepidosauria, Squamata, Lacertidae.
CAGUUAUAGAAAAGAAGAGGUUAGUAUUCCCCUUGAUAAAGAUGGAAGAUCUCCUAGUGGCUUGGAAUACAUGCACAUGAUUAAGGCACUGCCACGUAAUUUGUGGUCUUUAAUCAGUUUGG